AUACGGAGGGUGCAAGCGUUAUUCGGAAUCACUGGGCGUAAAGGGUGCGUAGGCGGUUUGAUAAGUCUGAUGUGAAAUCCUAUGGCUCAACCAUAGAACUGCAUUGGAAACUGUCAGACUAGAAUACUAAAGGGGCAGAUGGAAUUAGUGGUGUAGGGAUAAAAUCCGUAGAUAUCACUAGGAAUACCGAAAGCGAAAGCGAUCUGCUGGGAAGUUAUUGACGCUGAGGCACGAAAGCGUGGGGAGCAAACGGGAUUAGAAACCCUAGUAGUCC
RNAcentral lists this ribosomal RNA (274 nucleotides) under uncultured bacterium. RNAcentral describes it as "partial 16S ribosomal RNA". It matches the Rfam family "Bacterial small subunit ribosomal RNA", at positions 523 to 796 of the family's 1533-position model. The record is from RNAcentral.